AAUAGAUACCCGGGUAGUCCACGCCGUAAACGAUGAGUGCUAAGUGUUGGGGGGUUUCCGCCCCUCAGUGCUGCAGCUAACGCAUUAAGCACUCCGCCUGGGGAGUACGGUCGCAAGACUGAAACUCAAAGGAAUUGACGGGGGCCCGCACAAGCGGUGGAGCAUGUGGUUUAAUUCGAAGCAACGCGAAGAACCUUACCAGGUCUUGACAUCCCGGUGACCACUAUGGAGACAUAGUUUCCCCUUCGGGGGCAACGGUGACAGGUGGUGCAUGGUCGUCGUCAGCUCGUGUCGUGAGAUGUUGGGUUAAGUCCCGCAACGAGCGCAACCCUUAUUCUUAGUUGCCAUCAUUCAGUUGGGCACUCUAAGGAGACUGCCGGUGAUAAACCGGAGGAAGGUGGGGAUGACGUCAAAUCAUCAUGCCCCUUAUGACCUGGGCUACACACGUGCUACAAUGGACGGUACAAACGGUUGCCAACCCGCGAGGGGGAGCUAAUCCGAUAAAACCGUUCUCAGUUCGGAUUGUAGGCUGCAACUCGCCUACA
RNAcentral lists this ribosomal RNA (545 nucleotides) under uncultured bacterium. RNAcentral's name for it is "bacterial SSU rRNA". It matches the Rfam family "Bacterial small subunit ribosomal RNA", at positions 777 to 1320 of the family's 1533-position model. The record is from RNAcentral.